This 497-nucleotide ribosomal RNA is filed under the name uncultured bacterium. RNAcentral describes it as "partial 16S ribosomal RNA". It matches the Rfam family "Bacterial small subunit ribosomal RNA", at positions 28 to 507 of the family's 1533-position model. The record is from RNAcentral.
GAUGAACGCUGGCGGCGUGCCUAAUACAUGCAAGUCGAGCGAACAGAUGAGGAGCUUGCUCCUCUGACGUUAGCGGCGGACGGGUGAGUAACACGUGGAUAACCUACCUAUAAGACUGGGAUAACUUCGGGAAACCGGAGCUAAUACCGGAUAAUAUAUUGAACCGCAUGGUUCAAUAGUGAAAGACGGUUUUGCUGUCACUUAUAGAUGGAUCCGCGCCGCAUUAGCUAGUUGGUAAGGUAACGGCUUACCAAGGCAACGAUGCGUAGCCGACCUGAGAGGGUGAUCGGCCACACUGGAACUGAGACACGGUCCAGGCUCCUACGGGAGGCAGCAGUAGGGAAUCGUCCGCAAUGGGCGAAAGCCUUACGGAGCAACGCCGCGUGAGUGAUGAAGGUCUUCGGAUCGUAAAACUCUGUUAUUAGUGAAGAACAAAUGUGUAAGGAACUAAGCACGUCUUGACGGUACCGAAUCAGAAAGCCACGGCUAACUACGUG